GACGAACGCUGGCGGCGUGCUUAACACAUGCAAGUCGAACGAUGAAGCCGGAGCUUGCUCUGGUGAAUUAGUGGCGAACGGGUGAGUAACACGUGAGUAACCUGCCCUUGACUCUGGGAUAACUGCGGGAAACUGUAGCUACUACCGGAUACGACCCUCGGAGGCAUCUCCAGGGGGUGGAAAGAAUUUCGGGCAAGGAUGGACGCGCGGCCUAUCGGCUAGUUGGGAGGGGAAAGGCUCACCAAGGGGACGGCGGGUAGCCGGCCUGAGAGGGUGGCCGGCGACACUGGGACUGAGACACGGCCCAGACGCCUACGGGAGGCAGCAGUGGGGAAUAUUGCACAAUGGGGGCAAGCCUGAUGCAGCAACGCCGCGUGAGGGAUGACGGCCUUCGGGUUGUAAACCUCUUUUAGCAGGGAAGAAGCGAAAGUGACGGUACCUGCAGAAAAAGCACCGGCUAACUACGUGCCAGCAGCCGCCGUAA
Molecule: ribosomal RNA, 484 nt
Filed under: uncultured bacterium
Lineage: Bacteria
Description: partial 16S ribosomal RNA
Rfam family: Bacterial small subunit ribosomal RNA
Source: RNAcentral